AAACUCAACCUGCCAAAGACGAUGAUGGUGCACUUCUACACGGCCAUCAUCGAGUCCAUCCUCUGCUCCUCCAUCCCCGUCUGGUCCUUCUCUGACUUGUGUUUUACUCCAGGUUGCUCUGGUUUUCAAAAAAAAAAAUGGUGGAGGAGAGGAGAGAAGGGGAGUGGAUUUUGCCACUAGAUCGUCGGAGGUAGACGCCCUUCUCUAUGUGGUUUUCUCCCGGUGCUCGGGUUUUCAAAAAAUGUUAUUUCAUGUUUUAUAUCUGUUUGUGUCAUAGGAAGCUCGCCCAUGAAUAAUCGUGUAAGUCAGCGGUCGGGAACCUAUGGCUCUUCCGGUGACUGCAUAUGGCUCCCAGUUGAAAAAAAAAAAAAAAAUCAGUUUGGAACUGAUUUUAAAAUACUUAAACAAAAAUAGACGUUUACUGUGCAUUUCAGGCUGUGUGGACAGAGGAAUUUGCACUUGUGGACAGAGCAGGAUCUGCGGUAUGUCUAAUAUGCAAUCAUAAAAUUGCAUCGAUGAAACGGUCAAAGAUAAAGCGGCACUUCGAUACGCACCAUGCUUCAUUCGCAUCGAAAUAUCCAGAGUGUCUCAUGAGUGUGCAGUGACAAUUACCGACCUGACAUCCAUCUACGGCGGCAAAUCCCUGUCAAAAUUCGAGAGCGCAAAUCGAGUUGAUGCGCGCGCGUAAAUCAAACAUCCGCGAGCAAAAGUUUGUCCCCCGCGAGAUACUUGCUCGCUUGCGGAACGUGAACUUUGUUGCUCGCGAGGUUAACCUCUGCUCGUGCUCGAAGGUGUUUUCUAUGGUUGCUUAUGCUUAUGAAGUCACAUAAGCAUUAUCAGAAACAAACAACAGACAGGUUGAGCAGACACAUUUUGACCAGAAAAUACCCAGGGCCCAAUAGGUGUAUGUAACCACCCCCAGACAAAAGCAUCUAUUUAGGUAUUUGGGGGAAUUUUUAAACAACUUUGUUGCAGUACGUGGUUACAGAGAGUUUUAGAUACUCUUGUCUACAAGGAUCCUAUUUUGCCACCCUGAGCGACGAUGGAACACCUUGGUGGUGAGUAGUGUGUUUUAUUGUUGAUUACGUGUUUUAGUAAAACAAGCAUUAUACUUACAAGUAUAUAUUCAUUAAGGUUUCUCAACGAUAUGACAGUCCAGAGGGGGGUUAACCAUCUAAAGCAUCGAUGAGGUCUAGUGAUUUUAUAAUUGUUUCAUUUUCUCCAUCUUAACGUAUUUAAAUUGUAUUUACAUGUAUGCAAAUAUCUUUUAGAAAGCGACUGCAGACAGCCUUCCACCAUCUUUAGGAUCCUAACUACAAAAAGCGUGGAAACAGGCCUGCAGACCGAGCUAAGAAACCUUCAAGAAAUACAAAAACAACUCGCAACAAGCAUUGAGUGGCUUACCACAACCCUCAACAAGUAAGCCGUCCUUGGAUGGGUGUUCUCCAAAAGGACCAAAGUGGGUUAAACCCACAAUAAAAACGCCUGCGAUAGAGUCCACAUCCAAGGACAUGUGGGGAGGAAUUGAAGUUUUUAUUGGCCGAUAUAGCAACAUUUUAGGUCUUUAUCUACAUUAUAUAACAUUCAAAAAUGUUUUCUACUCAGGGCUGUGGUAUCCAUCAGAAGGCCCCGCGGUGUUUAAACCUCCAAUAAAAAGGCCCGCGUUAGCUCCCACCCGUCAGGACACCAGGGGAGGUCUAUAGUUUCCUCCCAAACAGGCACGAGGUGAUAAACACAUGCAAAAGGUUAAACACACAAAAGGUUAAAAGACAGCCUUUGGCGGCGUGGACUACACCGAAUGAAGAGCCGGAACUUUUUACCUCAAGAUACGACGACCUAAUAAGCGAUGAGGAAUUAAUACGCCGUGUUGAGGACCUCGAAUCGGACCUGAGAGGAGGCGAGACCAGAAGGCUGUAGGUGAGCAGAGAGAGGACGCUGCGCUGGUUGUACCGAAUGCCGAAGAGAAUGACUGAC
Molecule: non-coding RNA, 1974 nt
Organism: Gasterosteus aculeatus aculeatus (three-spined stickleback)
Lineage: Eukaryota; Metazoa; Chordata; Actinopteri; Perciformes; Gasterosteidae
Source: RefSeq, a predicted model, not a curated record